Long non-coding RNA from Cervus elaphus (red deer), 1481 nucleotides. RefSeq lists it as uncharacterized. The transcript is spliced from 3 exons. Lineage: Eukaryota; Metazoa; Chordata; Mammalia; Artiodactyla; Cervidae. The record is from RefSeq and is a predicted model, not a curated record.
UGACGUGUACGCUGGGGGAAGGGGAGGCCGCGCUCGGUCUCCGAGCUCUCGGCGCUUCAGGAGUUAGGCGAGCUCGUCAGCCGCCUCGGGAAAGCUGCGCCCCCGCAGGGGGGAAGGUUUAGCCCCGAGAAAUGGGUUGAGGAUUGGGCACAGAGCAGAUGCCCACAGACAGAGGACCGAUGCGUCCCGGGAGGGCUUGCCAGAGCCCCAGGUUCCCUUCAUCUUCAGAAUCCACAGUGGUCCAUCCAGUCUUCCUCAGGAUGAAUCAUUCUGGCACUGCCUCCUUCUUUUACUUACGGAGACCCUUCUGAUUCCAAUGGGCCCACCCAGCUAAUCCAGGGUGCUGGGAAUUAAACAAGGUAAAGAAUAUCCCAUCCAUUAAGAAGCUGAUAAUCUUUAAACAGAGACAAGUGAGCAAGAAUGAAUUGCUGGGAGAACACGUAUGAGAAGAACCUAACCUGGAAUGUGUUUUCUAAGCAAUUCCUCAGCUUUUGGCAGCAGGAAGACUACUGGAAGAAGAUGAAAAAUAAAUUAAUAAAUAGGUGACAAAGGAGGAAAGGAAGUGGAGGUUUCACUGUGCAUCCUUUUGUUUUGUUGCAUUUCAUACAAUGUGCAUGUAUUAUGUAUAUUAAAAAGUUGAUGUUUAAAAAGAAUAAUUGUUUUAUUUAAAGGAAUAAAUCUAGUAAGCAUCAACUAAUGAAUAAAAUUACCACUGUGCUAGUAAUCUAAGUGCCUGUGAAGUGUGGAAAAAGAACUGGGGGCAUAGUUCUGUUUGGGUGAUGUGAACACAUGUUACAUGGAAAGCAAUAGCAUCAAGAAAGUUUUGAACUAACAUCCUGCACUCUGGCUGGUCCAAGGAAAGGACCACCAGAGGUGUGGCACCAGGAAGGUUGGAGAGUGGAGAGGCAGAGAUGAAGUAUCUGUCAUCAAAUCUCCAGGGCUCUCAGGGAAGAGGCUGCACAAACAGUCCAUCAUGAUCGCUGGGUCUUCCUUGUGGGGUUUUGGAGGGUGCUCAGCAAUCACUGAAUUUAAUUAAUUCUAUUUGAAAUGGAUACAUUAACCUAACACAAUGCAAUAACACUGACUAUUAAGAAUAUCCCUGGCUCAAGAAUUCCCUGGUGGUCCAGUGGUUAGAAGCCUGUGCUUCUCCUUCAGGGGGCCAUGGCUUCCACUCCUGGUCGACGGAACUAAAAUCCUACAAGUCCUGCUGCCUGGGCAAAGAACAAAAGUUUCACAGUGACUAAAUAACCCUUCGAUUAUAAUCUGGUUUCCCAGGGGUGUAACCUAUGAAAGCAGAGCUGGCUGUCUGAGUGGAAAGGUUGUAUGUUUCUUUAAUGAAUGCUUUCUUCUUCUCUUCUGGGUUGGUGUGACUCAGGAGUUUUAACCCUGAUCCUCACCUUAGGGUGAGUGCAUGCUAAGUUGCUUCAGUCAUGUCGGGCUCUUUGCAACCCCAUGGACUGUAUAGCCUGCCAGGCUCCUCU